GAUGAACGCUGGCGGCGUGCCUAAUACAUGCAAGUCGAGCGAACAGACGAGGAGCUUGCUCCUCUGACGUUAGCGGCGGACGGGCGAGUAACACGUGGAUAACCUACCUAUAAGACUGGGAUAACUUCGGGAAACCGGAGCUAAUACCGGAUAAUAUAUUGAACCGCAUGGUUCAAUAGUGAAAGACGGUUUUGCUGUCACUUAUAGAUGGAUCCGCGCCGCAUUAGCUAGUUGGUAAGGUAACGGCUUACCAAGGCGACGAUGCGUAGCCGACCUGAGAGGGUGAUCGGCCACACUGGAACUGAGACACGGUCCAGACUCCUACGGGAGGCAGCAGUAGGGAAUCUUCCGCAAAGGGCGAAAGCCUGACGGAGCAACGCCGCGUGAGUGAUGAAGGUCUUCGGAUCGUAAAACUCUGUUAUUAGGGAAGAACAAAUGUGUAAGUAACUAUGCACGUCUUGACGGUACCUAAUCAGAAAGCCACGGCUAACUACGUG
This 497-nucleotide ribosomal RNA is filed under the name uncultured bacterium. RNAcentral's name for it is "partial 16S ribosomal RNA". It matches the Rfam family "Bacterial small subunit ribosomal RNA", at positions 28 to 507 of the family's 1533-position model. The record is from RNAcentral.